AGGUUGGUAGGGAGACAGAGGUUAGUAGGGAGACAGAGGUUAGUUGGAAGACAGAGGUUAGUAGGGAGACAGAGGUUGGUCGGGAGACAGAGGUUAGUAGGGAGACCGAGGUUAGUAGGGAGACAGAGGUUAGUAGGGAGACAGAGGUUAGUAGGGAGAGAGAGGUAAGUAGGGAGACAGAGGUUGGUAGGGAGACAUAAUAGGUGGGAGGCAGAGGUUAGUAGGGAGGCAGAGGUUAGUAUGGAGACAGAGUUUAGUAGGGAGACAGAGGGUAGUGGGGAGCCAGAGGUUAGUAGGGAGACAGAGGUUAGUAGGGAGGCAGAGGUUAGUAGGGAGGCAGAGGUUUGUAGGGAGGCAGAGGUUAGUAGGGAGGCAGAGGUUAGUAGGGAGACAGAGGUUAUUAGGGAGGCAGAGGUUAGUAGAGAGACAGAGGUUAGUGGGAGACAGAGGUUAGUAUGGAGACAGAGUUUGGUAGGGAGACAGAGGGUAGUGGGGAGCCAGAGGUUAGUAGGGAGACAGAGGUUAGUAGGGAGGCAGAGGUUAGUAGGGAGGCAGAG
Long non-coding RNA from Oncorhynchus tshawytscha (Chinook salmon), 557 nucleotides. NCBI's taxonomy places the organism in Eukaryota, Metazoa, Chordata, Actinopteri, Salmoniformes, Salmonidae. The record is from Ensembl.